Molecule: long non-coding RNA, 393 nt
Organism: Rhinopithecus roxellana (golden snub-nosed monkey)
Lineage: Eukaryota; Metazoa; Chordata; Mammalia; Primates; Cercopithecidae
Exons: 2
Source: RefSeq, a predicted model, not a curated record
CCCAUAGAGAGGUGGUCACCAGGAGGCAGUUGUAUAAGGCAGAUAUCUGGCUCGACCACGUUGAAAAUUGGGAGGAGGUACAGAACUGGAAAGGGCAAUAAGGGUGACUAAGCUCUGCUUCUGGCAUGAGAAAGCUAAACAUAUUCUAAAUGGAUGCUGAGGAGACAGAAGAGCAAAGGAAACAUGCAGAGGAGAAGGUGACGAGAAGAUGGAGGCCGAGAAGGAAAUGAUGCAUCUAUGAGCCAAAGAACAUCGAAGACUGCCAGCAGCCACCGGAAGGAAGUCUGGAGAGAGGCACAAACCAGCUUGCAGAUGGAACCAAUCCUAUUGACCUCUUAACUGGAUUUCUGGCCUCCAAACUUUAAGAGAAUAAAUUUCUCUUCUUUGAAGCCA